UCGCGAUCUUUUCAUUUUAAUCGCAAUUCUAAUAUAAUAUCGAUUUAAAUUUGUUUUUCGGCAUUGAUAUUUGCAAUAGCCGUGAAGUUUGCUUUGUUUACAAACCCAAAAAUUUGACAUUUCUCUUCGAGACAACCCAGUUUCCUAUAUUUUCGGGCGGUGAUAAGCACCAUGUCGACCGAGCGACGAAAAAUGCUACAAAGGUGCUGGAAUCUAUCCCCGCCAUGUCCCCUUCAAGCAACACUGCCUAUCGUUUCAGCCAAGAUGUAUAGAAGUAUUACUAAGGCGUUUAACAUUUUUAUUUACGUGUUGUGCCUGGUGCUUGGGUGUUCAUUUUUAUAAUUCAGUUUUACAAGCACUGAUUUACGAGAUGGCUUACUGUGCUGGUCAUGAUUGCGGAACAACACGUUCGCAAAACAAUAGAACAGCGCGAACUCGUCCAAAUAUACGCCCAACAUCCUUCAUCACAGUUCAAAGCCGUUUCAUGAUCACGAGGUACACCAAGCUUAGUUUUAUUGCCAACAGACCUUAGUUCAUUAGGCAGAAGAUUAGGUUCAGAGAGCCAGCUAACAUCAUCGAAUUCAACGCACUACAGGCAUGGAGAAUAAUUUAAUGACACACAUCACACCGUUCAGCUCUUUCCAAUGCAUCGGUUUUGCUGAAUAAACUCAACCACCUAUCGUAUAUGCUACAAGUAAAAUACUUCACUACUUACCAAGGAAGACACAGAUUUUAGUGUUUUAGGCGGCUCGCACACCGGAGCAAUGAGCAACUAGCAACUGUCAACAUGCAAUAAGCAAUAUUAUCACCAAUGGAUUUUUCCAUUUAAUCUUUGUUGAUCUCGCACACCGACGCAAUACGAUAUCGCUGUCGCCUUUACAGAGCAACACAUGUCGCUAGCAACACGGCGUGUCGGUUGAAUAGCAACUUAUCGCUCAUAUUUUGACAAGUUUCGUACAUUAAGGCGAUUGUUUGCAUAAUGUCAGGGGUUUUUAUUGCUCUGGUAUGCGAAGAACAACAAAAUAUGUUUCCUGUUGCAUAUUGUGUACUGCAGUUUGCUAGUUGCUUAUUGCUGCGGUGUGCGAGCCGCCUUAAAUUCCAUCUCUAUUUCAAUAAACCUGUUAUAUCUGUUCCAGUUGGAGCGUCGGAUAGAAUAAAAAUCUUUUUUAGGAGCAGCGGAAAUCUUGUCAAGACAUACCACCAACAUCUGGACAACAUGAAUUAUUCAUCGCUGCUUUAUGAACACGAGCCACACAGCUCGGUUUCAUUGCCAACGAGCCGCAGUUCAUGAUGCAGACCAUUGAAGACCCAGCUAGCAUCAUGCAUUCUAGGCGGGAAAACACAAUCUAGUUUAUAUGCCGUUAGUUUCAUUACUUUCGAACCAGACAUCGUCGCCAAUGAUCGUAUCGCAACACGAUGGCAAAGCAGCAGGUUCAUCCAACCCUCAACCGUAGCAUGUACUUCAACAAAUUUCCCAAGAAGCUCUCAUGCUGCAACAAAGAAUCAACGUGCAAAUACCCUGCUAACAUAAACAAAUUCGACGCACUUUUUCUUCUGUGAAAGCUUUGGACCACUGCGACUACUAGUUUGAUCUAUUGUGAUGAUUCAAGGCAUUUAUAUAAAAUCUAACGCAUGUUUCUUGCUACCGAAUCUGAGCUGCAUCCACCGCACAACCACAAGAUAUACAUCAACAAGUUCGCCAGGUAAUGAUAAUGUUUAUCGAUGAAUCAACUGUAACAGUCAAAUUUUACACAAGCAACUUCAGGCAUUUCAGAUAGAAAAGAUAAUCUUGAUAAGUUAAGUCAUAGCUAUCCGAUAUUACAAUCCAAUAUUAGCAUUAAUCAGUUUUUGAAAACAUUUUGUAGAUACAAAUCAACAAGGGUCGCCAAUUGUCACGCAACAUGUUUAAAUAGUGAUACAGUAGAUGCACCCACCAACAUUAUACACCUCAGUACAUUUUCCAAACAGCAGUCGGGUUCAUUAAUAAAUAAAAUACAAGGAUUGUCGCGAUUGGUCAUUUCGCCACGCACAACAGCAUAACAGCUGUUCUCAACUUUUUUAUUUAAUGAUAUAUUUAUGUUUUUCUUUUUUUUUGUAUAUUUUUCUUAAAUUAUGUAAAUUUUUAUUGCCUGUUAAGACCAUGGCGCAUCAACUUACGAAUGACAAUGUAAAGGUAAUAAAUUAAUACAGUUAGAAAACUACGAUCAGUUCGCACAACAGAAUAUUAAAUACUAUAGUGUUUAAAAAUGUAAUUAUGAAAGAGAUUUAUAAAAUACUAAAUUAUUUAAAAAAUAAAAACUAUU
This is a long non-coding RNA of Toxorhynchites rutilus septentrionalis, 2303 nucleotides long. RefSeq lists it as uncharacterized. Lineage: Eukaryota; Metazoa; Arthropoda; Insecta; Diptera; Culicidae. The transcript has 7 exons. The record is from RefSeq and is a predicted model, not a curated record.